AGAGUUUGAUCCUGGCUCAGAACGAACGCUGGCGGCGUGCCUAACACAUGCAAGUCCAACGUGAAAGGGGAGCAAUCCCCCGGUAGGGUGGCAAACGGGUGAGUAAUACAUGGUGAUCUACCUUAGGGAUGGGGAUAUCCUUCCGAAAGGAGGGGCAAUACCGAAUAUUGUCCGGAGCCAUGAAGGGUUCCGGGGAAAGGGAGGCCUCUGAUACAAGCUUUCGCCUUAAGAUGAGCCCAUGGCCCAUCAGCUAGUUGGUAGGGUAAAGGCCUACCAAGGCUACGACGGGUCGCUGGUCUGAGAGGACGACCAGCCACACUGGCACUGAGAUACGGGCCAGACUCCUACGGGAGGCAGCAGUGAGGAAUAUUGCGCAAUGGGGGAAACCCUGACGCAGCAACGCCGCGUGUGGGAAGAAGGCCUUCGGGUCGUAAACCACUUUUGCACGGGACGAAAAAGGGAUAUCGAACAAAUAUCCCCGAUGACGGUACCGUGAGAAUAAGCCACGGCUAACUCUGUGCCAGCAGCCGCGGUAAGACAGAGGUGGCAAGCGUUGUUCGGAAUUACUGGGCGUAAAGAGUCUGUAGGUGGUUUGUCAAGUCUUUGGUGAAAGGCCGUAGCUUAACUAUGGGAAUGCCAAAGAGACUGGCAGGCUGGAGGCUGGGAGAGGGAAGCGGAAUUUCUGGUGUAGCGGUGAAAUGCGUAGAUAUCAGAAGGAAGGCCGGUGGCGAAGGCGGCUUCCCGGAACAGUCCUGACACUGAGAGACGAAAGCGUGGGGAGCAAACAGGAUUAGAUACCCUGGUAGUCCACGCCCUAAACGAUGGGUACUAAGUGUGGAGGGGUUAAACCCUCCGUGCCGCAGCAAACGCAGUAAGUACCCCGCCUGGGGAGUACGGCCGCAAGGUUGAAACUCAAAGGAAUUGACGGGGGCCCGCAC
RNAcentral lists this ribosomal RNA (938 nucleotides) under uncultured bacterium. RNAcentral describes it as "bacterial SSU rRNA". It matches the Rfam family "Bacterial small subunit ribosomal RNA", at positions 8 to 926 of the family's 1533-position model. The record is from RNAcentral.